This 73-nucleotide transfer RNA is filed under the name Buchnera aphidicola (Panaphis juglandis). RNAcentral's name for it is "transfer RNA Alanine". It matches the Rfam family "tRNA". From Rfam's summary of the family: Transfer RNA (tRNA) molecules are approximately 80 nucleotides in length. Their secondary structure includes four short double-helical elements and three loops (D, anti-codon, and T loops). The record is from RNAcentral. Lineage: Bacteria; Pseudomonadati; Pseudomonadota; Gammaproteobacteria; Enterobacterales; Erwiniaceae. RNAcentral also lists the same sequence under 4 other names.
GGGGCUGUAGCUCAGCUGGGAGAGCGCCUGCCUUGCACGCAGGAGGUCAGCGGUUCAAUCCCGCUUAGCUCCA